GACGAACGCUGGCGGCGUGCUUAACACAUGCAAGUCGAACGGAAAGGCCCUGCUUGCAGGGUACUCGAGUGGCGAACGGGUGAGUAACACGUGGGUGAUCUGCCCUGCACUUCGGGAUAAGCCUGGGAAACUGGGUCUAAUACCGGAUAGGAGCCAUUUUUAGUGUGAUGGUUGGAAAGUUUUUUCGGUGUAGGAUGAGCUCGCGGCCUAUCAGCUUGUUGGUGGGGUAAUGGCCUACCAAGGCGGCGACGGGUAGCCGGCCUGAGAGGGUGGACGGCCACAUUGGGACUGAGAUACGGCCCAGACUCCUACGGGAGGCAGCAGUGGGGAAUAUUGCACAAUGGGCGCAAGCCGGAUGCAGCGACGCCGCGUGGGGGAUGACGGCCUUCGGGUUGGAAACUCCUUUCGCUAGGGACGAAGCUUUUUGUGACGGUACCUAGAGAAGAAGCACCGGCUAACUACGUG
RNAcentral lists this ribosomal RNA (465 nucleotides) under uncultured bacterium. Its description in RNAcentral is "partial 16S ribosomal RNA". It matches the Rfam family "Bacterial small subunit ribosomal RNA", at positions 28 to 507 of the family's 1533-position model. The record is from RNAcentral.